Molecule: long non-coding RNA, 707 nt
Organism: Python bivittatus (Burmese python)
Lineage: Eukaryota; Metazoa; Chordata; Lepidosauria; Squamata; Pythonidae
Source: RefSeq, a predicted model, not a curated record
GUCGGCUAAUGAAGGGUUUUUGUCCUAUGCUCCUUAACCCAGUAGGAAGCUCUGCUAAAAACUGUAUUUACUUUUGAUCAAACACAAACGGAGUCGUAUUCUAAGAGAAUUAAAUAACAAAGAUUAUUGUAGAACCUUAAAAACGAAGCCGACUGACGCAUUUAUAGGAGAACCGGCUCAACUGAAAACGGCAGACUCCCUUGCAGCUGGGCAAAAUCAAGAAAGCAAGAUAGAAAACUACAGAGAUUUCAGUAAGGCAUCUAAUGCUAGUCUGAGACCAACUGUUUGUGUGCAUCUGCCCAUCUGUUGCUGACCCAGACAAAGGGAUACCAGGAAGAAUAUGUCUUGUGUCCAAAAUAGUGCAGAAAAUCUUCAGAAACAAAUAACCAGGAGGAAAACAUUGGAAUGUCUGAAUUUCCGAAUAGCUGACCAAUUGGAAACAUAGGCUAUCUGGGAAAAACAAUGAGCCUCUGAAUGUUUUAUGCUGGGGGGACUGCAUCCUUCUCUCCCUUAAUAAGUAAUCAAUCCAAUAAACAGUUUUUGCUGACAUUUUCUUGGUCUUGAUGAACUUUGUAAUACAAUCCUGUGAUAAAUCUUUUUCACACAUUUUGUAAUGGACAUAAGGAAUAACCUUGUGGAAAGGGAAGAGCCACAACCCGUACAAUGGUCAAAUAAAAGAGGGCUUAGUCCAGGGCAGAAAUGUGUAA